AGUAGCGCAUCGGUGGUCUUCACGACGUACACCCAGAAGCACCCGUCCAUCGAGGACGGGCCUCCAUUUGUGGAGCCGCUGCUCAACUUCAUCUGGUUCCUGCUGCUGGCUGUGGACGGUGGGAAGCUGACGGUGUUCACUGUGCUGUGUGAGCAGUACCAGCCAUCCCUCCGGCGGGACCCGAUGUACAACGAGGUGAGGGCUUGGGGCUAGGGAGGGAGGAGGGGACCCCACGGCCUGGGUCCACCCGCUCUGAGCCCGCUGCCUGUGCCUUGCAGUACCUCGACCGCAUAGGACAGCUGUUCUUCGGCAUCCCGCCCAAGCAGACGUCUUCCUACGGAGGCCUGCUCGGGAACCUUCUGAGCAGCCUCAUGGGCUCCUCAGAGCAGGAGGAGGGGGAGGAGAGCCCCAGCGACGGCAGCCCCAUCGAGCUGGACUGAACUGGCCGGGUCACGUGGAGACACCACGGUCGACGACGGCUCGAGGGACGUUUCAGAGGCGAGUCCUGGGUGGCUCCUCGCCUGGGGGCUCCUGGCCCUGAGGCUGGCGGUGGCCACAUGCCGGCGCGUGUCUGUUUCUGUGCGGCGGCUCAGGGUGGCGCGGCUGCCAGUCGCUGUGCUGCUGGGACCCAAGAGUGGGGCGUCGCCCCUGCUGGCCGCCGCAUCCCCCGAGAUU
RNAcentral lists this small RNA (675 nucleotides) under Pongo abelii (Sumatran orangutan). Its description in RNAcentral is "retained intron". Lineage: Eukaryota; Metazoa; Chordata; Mammalia; Primates; Hominidae. The record is from RNAcentral.